UACGUAGGGUGCGAGCGUUAAUCGGAAUUACUGGGCGUAAAGUGUGCGCAGGCGGCAAAGCAAGUCGAGUGUGAAAGCCCCGGGCUUAACUUGGGAAUUGCGUUCGAAACUACUUUGCUGGAGUGUGGCAGAGGAAGGUGGAAUUCCACGUGUAGCGGUGAAAUGCGUAGAGAAUGUGGAGGAACACCAAUGGCGAAGGCAGCCUUCUGGGCCAACACUGACGCUCAUGCACGAAAGCGUGGGGAGCAAA
This 250-nucleotide ribosomal RNA is filed under the name uncultured bacterium. RNAcentral's name for it is "partial 16S ribosomal RNA". It matches the Rfam family "Bacterial small subunit ribosomal RNA", at positions 524 to 772 of the family's 1533-position model. The record is from RNAcentral.